AGUGAACGCUGGCGGUAGGCCUAACACAUGCAAGUCGAACGGCAGCACAGUAAGAGCUUGCUCUUACGGGUGGCGAGUGGCGGACGGGUGAGGAAUACAUCGGAAUCUACUUUUUCGUGGGGGAUAACGUAGGGAAACUUACGCUAAUACCGCAUACGACCUACGGGUGAAAGCAGGGGAUCUUCGGACCUUGCGCGAUUGAAUGAGCCGACGUCGGAUUAGCUAGUUGGCUGGGUAAAGGCCCACCAAGGCGACGAUCCGUAGCUGGUCUGAGAGGAUGAUCAGCCACACUGGAACUGAGACACGGUCCAGACUCCUACGGGAGGCAGCAGUGGGGAAUAUUGGACAAUGGGCGCAAGCCUGAUCCAGCCAUACCGCGUGGGUGAAGAAGGCCUUCGGGUUGUAAAGCCCUUUUGUUGGGAAAGAAAAGCAGCAGGUUAAUACCCCGCUGUUCUGACGGUACCCAAAGAAUAAGCACCGGCUAACUUCGUG
RNAcentral lists this ribosomal RNA (492 nucleotides) under uncultured bacterium. Its description in RNAcentral is "partial 16S ribosomal RNA". It matches the Rfam family "Bacterial small subunit ribosomal RNA", at positions 29 to 507 of the family's 1533-position model. The record is from RNAcentral.